This 356-nucleotide ribosomal RNA is filed under the name uncultured Anoxybacillus sp. RNAcentral describes it as "bacterial SSU rRNA". It matches the Rfam family "Bacterial small subunit ribosomal RNA", at positions 1028 to 1382 of the family's 1533-position model. The record is from RNAcentral. Lineage: Bacteria; Bacillati; Bacillota; Bacilli; Caryophanales; Anoxybacillaceae.
AGGGUGACAGGUGGUGCAUGGUUGUCGUCAGCUCGUGUCGUGAGAUGUUGGGUUAAGUCCCGCAACGAGCGCAACCCUCGACCUUAGUUGCCAGCAUUCAGUUGGGCACUCUAAGGUGACUGCCGGCUAAAAGUCGGAGGAAGGUGGGGAUGACGUCAAAUCAUCAUCGCCCCUUAUGACCUGGGCUACACACGUGCUACAAUGGGCGGUAACAAAGGGUCGCCGAACCCGCGAGGGGGAGCCAAUCCCAAAAAGCCGCUCUCAGUUCGAAUUGCAGGCUGCAACUCGCCUGCAUGAAGCCGGAAUCGCUAGUAAUCGCGGAUCAGCAUGCCGCGGUGAAUACGUUCCCGGGCCUU